GACGAACGCUGGCGGCGUGCUUAACACAUGCAAGUCGAACGAUGAAGCUGGAGCUUGCUCCGGUGGAUUAGUGGCGAACGGGUGAGUAACACGUGGGUGAUCUGCCCUGCACUUCGGGAUAAGCCUGGGAAACUGGGUCUAAUACCGGAUAGGACCACUGCCUGCAUGGGUGGUGGUGGAAAGCUUUUGCGGUGUGGGAUGGGCCCGCGGCCUAUCAGCUUGUUGGUGGGGUGAUGGCCUACCAAGGCGACGACGGGUAGCCGGCCUGAGAGGGUGACCGGCCACACUGGGACUGAGAUACGGCCCAGACUCCUACGGGAGGCAGCAGUGGGGAAUAUUGCACAAUGGGCGCAAGCCUGAUGCAGCGACGCCGCGUGAGGGAUGACGGCCUUCGGGUUGUAAACCUCUUUCAGCACCGACGAAGCGCAAGUGACGGUAGGUGCAGAAGAAGGACCGGCCAACUACGUGCCAGCCGCCGCAGUAA
Molecule: ribosomal RNA, 484 nt
Filed under: uncultured bacterium
Lineage: Bacteria
Description: partial 16S ribosomal RNA
Rfam family: Bacterial small subunit ribosomal RNA
Source: RNAcentral